This 308-nucleotide ribosomal RNA is filed under the name uncultured bacterium. Its description in RNAcentral is "bacterial SSU rRNA". It matches the Rfam family "Bacterial small subunit ribosomal RNA", at positions 30 to 334 of the family's 1533-position model. The record is from RNAcentral.
AUUGAACGCUGGCGGCAUGCUUUACACAUGCAAGUCGAACGGCAGCAUAGAGAGCUUGCUCUCUGAUGGCGAGUGGCGAACGGGUGAGUAAUGCAUCGGAACGUGUCCGUUUGUGGGGGACAACUAUCCGAAAGGAUAGCUAAUACCGCAUGAGACCUGAGGGUGAAAGCCGGGGACCGCAAGGCCUGGCGCAAACGGAGCGGCCGAUGUCUGAUUAGCUAGUUGGGGAGGUAACGGCUCACCAAGGCGACGAUCAGUAGCUGGUCUGAGAGGACGACCAGCCACACUGGAACUGAGACACGGUCCAG